Molecule: long non-coding RNA, 217 nt
Organism: Sander lucioperca (pikeperch)
Lineage: Eukaryota; Metazoa; Chordata; Actinopteri; Perciformes; Percidae
Exons: 3
Source: RefSeq, a predicted model, not a curated record
AUUUAUACUGUAUAUAAACAUAAAUAUUAUUUAUGGUGCCAAAUCAUAACAUUAGUUAUCUCAACCAGAAUCAUUGAGUGCAGCCACAGUCUAAAGGUCAAUUGGCAGCACUAGUGUCAGUGUUCAGUUUUUUUUGGGAAGGUGUUGCCUUUUUUCCAGAUUAGAGCAAUAGCCCCUCCAAAUGUCUGUGCACGUCCCUGUUUAUUAUGCACAUGUG